This 1657-nucleotide unclassified non-coding RNA is filed under the name Daphnia magna. RNAcentral's name for it is "uncharacterized LOC116930777, transcript variant X1". The record is from RNAcentral. Lineage: Eukaryota; Metazoa; Arthropoda; Branchiopoda; Diplostraca; Daphniidae.
CCAGAAUAGAAUGAGUAAACUGUCAUGGCGGUGUGACAGUCUUACCUUGUUCAGUCGUUUCAUUCACACGUCUAAAGAAAUUUCAAUUAAUAUUUAUAAUUUUUCUCUAUUUCGUGUCACAAAACAUGGAUAAUCGUUUCGAACUAGUGAGUGAUGAACAGGUGUAUGAAAUCCUCCUGGUCUGUGGUAAACUUAAACGAAAGAGAAAGGUGAAAGUCAAUUGUCUGACACCAGAAUAUAGGCAAAAAAUGAAAAGAAUUGCUGUUAAAGAACUACAUCAGUGGAUGUCUAACGGAGUUUCAGAAAGUUUUAUGACGCAUUUGAAAGAAUUGUCCUCAACAUUGCCUGAACUGUUUGCAUUAAAGCAAUCAUUUACUCCUGCUAUGGAAAUCUCGACAGCGAAUAAAGAAAUUAGUAAACAACCUUCAUUCGACCAUUUGGAAGUUGAUAUGCUGAAAGAUUUGAUAGAGAAUAACUCUGACAUGAGAACAGAUCCUGAACCAGAAUAUUGCAUAGUUAAAACAUCUUUACAUGUGCAUCAAGCCGAAAAAAGUGUGGAUUUCUUAACGUCAGAUGUCAUAAUGUCAGAUGACAACCAACAAUUGAAUGAUGCAGAUUAUGAUGGAUUUCAAGGGACGACUGUUUUAGAUGUGACAGACAGUUCCUCACUGAGUAGCAACAUAUUAUCUUUCACUCGCAUUCUCCAACAUUGGGCCGCUAGCACUAAUCAAAAGAAAAGCUACCUUACGUACCUGCUUCAGUUGCUAAAAGAACACAAACCCCUCCUAGAUUUUGACACACUUCCAGCUUCUGGUAAUCAACUUAUGUUUAUUGACGGGCGCGAUAUGCCCCAGCCAUUUGCAACAAGUGAAAAUACUACAAGCAAGAAAUAUCCACUACCUCCAGUUAUUGAUUUAAACAUUAACGGCAAUGGAAGAUACUGUCAUUUCGGUCUAGAAAAUGCACUUUCUGGAAUCUCACCAGGAUCAUACUUCCACAAUUCCGACUUAUUGCAGUACGCGACCAUAUUCAAAACUAAUCCGGAAUGCAUACCAAUUUGUAUUAGAAAAAAGGUUGAACAACUUGAUGGAGAAGCAGUAAUGGAAGAAGCUAGGAGAAUUCUGAGAGGCGAAGGUGCAGUACCUGAUACUCAGCAGUCUUCCAUGAAUAUUCCUCAUUUUGAAGCAGACAUAACUGCAGAUGGUGUACAACUUUUCAACAACUCCGAGAAAGCAGAAUGCAUUCCAAUUUGCAUUGUGGUUCAUUCAGACACUCUAAAGGAAAACCAGACAUCAACGAGUUCUUAUCUCCUGUUUUAGAAGAGUUAAUCAGACUGGAUCCAAACAAUCACGAUGAAUUGAUCACCAGGGGUCGUCAAUUCACAGUGUCGCUUCGAUGUGUAAUUGCUGAUUGGCCCAUGCGCUCUUAUUUAAAAAGGAUAAAAGGCCAUUCAGGAUACUGGAGCUGUGAGAGAUGUGUGCAAAAGGGUGUUUCGUGUGACAUUAACUCUAGUAGAAACGAGGAUUUCCUGACAUAUUGCCAGUCCGACAACUGCCUUGAUGAACACAUCAACAGUCUUCACGAUCUCAGCCCGCUCCAUAAGUUGAAUUUCCCCAUGGUCAGCGGUUUCGUUUUGGAACCCAUGCAUACGUUUUAU